Molecule: non-coding RNA, 1677 nt
Organism: Microcebus murinus (gray mouse lemur)
Lineage: Eukaryota; Metazoa; Chordata; Mammalia; Primates; Cheirogaleidae
Source: RefSeq, a predicted model, not a curated record
AUGGCCGAGACCCCGCCGCCACCCGCGGUUGGGGCUGAAAGUUGCAGCGAGGAGCCCGCGAGCGGCGGGGAGCUGCGGCCAGAGGAGCUGCGCCACGCUGCCGCCGGGGUCACGGGGCGAGAGGACGAGGCGCGGCCACAGCCGGCCUCCCCCGCAGGGCAGUCAGAGCCCGACUCGCCGGUAUCCGCCCCCUUCUUCUUGCUCUACCUGGGCGAUGGAGGCGCCGGCUUCGCAGCGCGCCCGCCGCCGCAGCAGCGCUCCUGGAGGACCCCGCCGUCGCCGGGCUCCCCGCUGCCCUUCCUGCUGCUGAGCUACCAGGGCGGCGGCGGCGGCGGCGGCAGCGGCGAGCAGCAUGCUAACUAUCUCGUGGCUAACGAACGCAUGAACCUGAAUAACAUGGCCAAGCUGAGUAUUAAGGGCUUGAUUGAAUCAGCUCUGAACCUGGGGAGGACCUUGGACUCUGACUAUGCACCUCUCCAGCAAUUCUUCGUGGUGAUGGAGCACUGUCUGAAACACGGCUUAAAAGCUAAGAAGGCUUUUCUUGGACAAAAUAAGUCCUUCUGGGGGCCGCUAGAACUGGUAGAAAAGCUUGUUCCAGAAGCUGCAGAGAUAACAGCAAGUGUUAAAGAUCUUCCGGGACUUAAGACACCAGUAGGCAGAGGAAGAGCCUGGCUUCGUUUGGCAUUAAUGCAAAAGAAACUCUCAGAAUAUAUGAAAGCUUUGAUCAAUAAGAAAGAACUUCUCAGUGAAUUCUAUGAACCCAAUGCUCUCAUGAUGGAAGAAGAAGGAGCCAUAAUUGCUGGACUGUUGGUGGGUCUGAAUGUCAUUGAUGCCAAUUUCUGUAUGAAAGGAGAAGAUCUGGACUCUCAGGUUGGAGUUAUAGAUUUUUCAAUGUAUCUCAAGGAUGGGAACAGCAGCAAAGGUAGUGAAGGAGAUGGUCAGAUUACUGCAAUUCUGGACCAGAAGAACUAUGUAGAGGAACUCAACAGACACCUGAAUGCUACCGUAAAUAACCUCCAGGCAAAAGUAGAUGCAUUAGAAAAAUCCAACACUAAACUGACAGAAGAGCUUGCAGUUGCAAACAACAGGAUUAUUACCUUGCAAGAAGAAAUGGAACGAGUUAAAGAGGAAAGUUCCUACAUACUGGAAUCCAAUCGGAAGGGUCCUAAGCAAGACAGAACUUCAGAAGGGCAAGCACUAAGUGAAGCAAGAAAGCAUUUGAAGGAGGAGACGCAAUUACGAUUGGACGUUGAGAAGGAACUGGAGAUCCAGAUCAGCAUGCGGCAGGAGAUGGAGCUGGCCAUAAAGAUGCUGGAGAAGGACGUGUGUGAGAAGCAGGACGCCCUGGUGUCCCUUCGGCAGCAGCUGGAUGACCUCAGGGCUCUCAAGCACGAACUCGCCUUCAAGCUGCAGAGUUCAGACUUAGGCGUAAAAUAGAAAAGUGAACUAAACAGUCGCUUGGAAGAGAAGACUAACCAGAUGGCUGCUACCAUCAAGCAACUGGAGCAAAGAUUGCGCCAGGCUGAGCGAGGCCGCCAGUCUGCUGAGUUGGACAACCAGCUCUUCAAACAGGAUUUCGGAGACAAGAUCAACAGUCUGCAGCUGGAGGUGGAGGAGCUCACCAGGCAGCGGAACCAGCUUGAAUUAGAACUAAAACAGGAAAAAGAAAGAAGAUUU